CCUACGGGAGGCAGCAGUGAGGAAUAUUGGUCAAUGGGCGCGAGCCUGAACCAGCCAAGUAGCGUGAAGGAUGACUGCCCUACGGGUUGUAAACUUCUUUUAUAAAGGAAUAAAGUGCGGCACGUGUGCCUUUUUGUAUGUACCUUAUGAAUAAGGAUCGGCUAACUCCGUGCCAGCAGCCGCGGUAAUACGGAGGAUCCGAGCGUUAUCCGGAUUUAUUGGGUUUAAAGGGAGCGGAGAUGGGUUGUUAAGUCAGUUGUGAAAGUUUGGGGCUCAACCGUAAAAUUGCAGUUGAUACUGGCAGGCUUGAGUACAGUUGAGGUAGGCGGAAUUCGUGGUGUAGCGGUGAAAUGCAUAGAUAUCACGAAGAACUCCGAUUGCGAAGGCAGCUUACUAGACUGCAACUGACGUUGAUGCUCGAAAGUGUGGGUAUCAAACAGGAUUAGAUACCCGGGUAGUC
This 460-nucleotide ribosomal RNA is filed under the name uncultured bacterium. Its description in RNAcentral is "partial 16S ribosomal RNA". It matches the Rfam family "Bacterial small subunit ribosomal RNA", at positions 338 to 795 of the family's 1533-position model. The record is from RNAcentral.